This 478-nucleotide ribosomal RNA is filed under the name uncultured bacterium. RNAcentral describes it as "bacterial SSU rRNA". It matches the Rfam family "Bacterial small subunit ribosomal RNA", at positions 28 to 518 of the family's 1533-position model. The record is from RNAcentral.
GAUGAACGCUGGCGGCGUGCCUAAUACAUGCAAGUCGAGCGAACCACUUCGGUGGUGAGCGGCGAACGGGUGAGUAACACGUAGGUGAUCUGCCCAUCAGACGGGGACAACGAUUGGAAACGAUCGCUAAUACCGGAUAGGACGAAAGUUUAAAGGUGCUUCUGGCACCGCUGAUGGAUGAGCCUGCGGCGCAUUAGUUAGUUGGUGAGGUAAGAGCUCACCAAGGCGAUGAUAGAUAGGCGGCCUUAACGGGUGGUCGCCCACACUGGGAUUGAGAUACGGCCCAGACUCCUACGGGAGCAGCAGUCGAGAAUAGUCUACAAUGGUCGGAAGACUGAUAGUGCGACGCCGCGUGAACGAUGAAUCCCUUCGGGGUUAAAGUUCUUUUAUAUGUGAGCAGUGCUUCUUAUAUUAACAGUAUGGGGAAGAGAUAUUAGCAUAUGAAUAAGCAAACGGCUAACUCCGUGCCAGCAGCCGG